This is a non-coding RNA of Rattus norvegicus (Norway rat), 4301 nucleotides long. The record is from RefSeq and is a predicted model, not a curated record. NCBI's taxonomy places the organism in Eukaryota, Metazoa, Chordata, Mammalia, Rodentia, Muridae.
CUCGGCUCUCAUGUUGUUCAGCAGGACGGUGAGGUCCACGCCCGGGGCCGCGUUCAUCUCCACAUUCACGUUACCUCCGGCUGCGCACUGCAGAACCUUCAUUUCCUAAAGUGAAAUGCAAGCGACUGUCCACAUGCCAUCUGAGAAGGGUUUAGAGGUCCCAAAGUCCCCAGAGUGAUGAAUAAUUUAUGGGUGCUAUUUUGUCUGUGUUCAAGGCUGUCGUCCAUCCAUUCAUCCAUCUUCCUUCCUUCCUUCUUUCCGUCUAUCCAUCCUUGUUUUUAUGAGACAGAAUCUCACUCUGGAGCCCAGACUAAGCUGGAACUCACUAUGUAACCCAGGCUGGACCUUGAAUUAGGGAAUUAUCCUGCUUCAGCUUCCAAAAAGCUGGGAUUAUAAAGUUGAACCAGCAGGUAAUGGCUCACGUCUUUAAUCCCAGCACUUGGGAGACAGAGGAAAACCCAGCCUCCGCCUGCCCCCAAUCCCAGCCACUGUGGAAUUUCACCCAAGGGAUGCUAAUAGCCAUUUAUUUGAAUGACCAUUGCUCAGACGCUGCUCUGAGCAAGUGCUACAAGUCUGAGCAUCCUUAUGAGACAGGCACUCCCUUCACAGAUGAGGGGAGUGGAGCACAGAGAGGAGAAGACAGCUGCCUAAGUUGCUCACUGGGAUCUGGCCAGAGGCAGAAUGGACUGGACUCCCGACUCCUGUUCUUAGCGGCUACACCGUUCAGCUGUGGCAUCUAUCCCAGUCCACUGAGUAGCUGAUCUUUUCAUUUGGAUCUCACAGUGUUAAUAUCUCAGGUUUCUCCCCUAUCCCAGGACAGGGACUUGCUAUGUAGCCCAGACUGGCCUCCAGGUCCCAUGCCCCUGCCUGCCUCCACCUCCCAAGUGCCUCAGGUAUGUACUGCCAUGCCUGGCUGACUUUUGUUUCCUUAAACUAGAAUCUGACUUCUUAGUUAAGAUUUCUCUCUCUCUCUCUCUCUCUCUCUCUCUCUCUCUCUCUCCCUCUCCUUUUUCUCUCUAUCCGUUCCUCCUCUCUAUCUAUCUAUCUAUCUAUCUAUCUAUCUAUCUAUCUAUCUAUCCAUCCAUCCAUGUGUAUAGAUCUCCCCUAAAAAGCUACUCUUAAUGUAUUUCUGUAUUUUAAAAUUUUCUGUAAGAUUCCAUACGAAGGAAAAUUCUUGUCGCUGUGGAUUUUCAAAAAUCAAACUAUCAAACUAGUUGCAGUUAGACUGAUGGCACCUGCCACAGAGAGUGUGGUAAAUGCUCUCAGGGUGGCACAAUGCAAGUGCUUUUUCUACCCCACCCUCAGUGCCAUCAAAGCUGCCUUCUUUCCGUGGCUGUGCCUUUAAGAAGACAUGGAUCCUGUAGUGUUUCCAGUCCUUCCCUGGGGCUUGUCAUUCCUUCCCUUCCCUCUCCUGGUUUCCUUGGUGUGUGUGUGUGUGUGUGUGUGUGUGUGUGUGUGUGUGUGUGUGUGUGAUCACUGUCCUGCCAAACAUCCCUGGGGCCUUCUGGUGCUGUGCUGUACAAAUCCCCCCCCUUCCCCUCUGUCUCUAUCUAUGUCUGUCUCGUAACUCUUCUUGCUCUCUAGCGCUCUCUUUCUGUCUCCUAACUUUCCUUCCUCUAAUGUUCUCGUGGGAGGCAAGUAGAUUCUGUGUGUGGUCUCCGUGAGUCCGGAUUCGUGCUGGAACAGCAACAACCUCCCUCCCUAGACUUUUCACGGGCAGAGCUGUGUUGGUUAGAGGGAAGCUUCUCCUACCUCUUCGUGGUUCUUCUUGAGGCAGACGUGGAGAAGCAAGGGCAGCUUUUUCCAAGGACGGAAGGCAUAGGUAACGUUCUCACUUAAUUGUUAUUUUUCUAACAGAAAUCCUUUCAUUCCUUUAGGCUGUAAUUUUACUUGAGAUGAAAAUGAACUUUUUUUUUUGCAACAUUAACACAUAGGGGCUCAGUUUCGGGGCCACGACUGUCACUGUCACUUACUUUAGUCUGAAAUCGUCAGCAGCCAGUCUGGCAUUAUCAAUCUGCAGAAUUAUAUUAGCGUUAGCAGCCGUGGAAGAGAUGACCUAGAGGAAAUUAAAAGGAAGUUAACAGAAAUAACCUUGCUUUUGUUAUUUAUUACUUAGAAAAUAAUCAAGCCCCUGCAUCUGUUUUUUAGACUUAUGCAAUUAUCAGAAUGUUUAUAAUUUAAUUUUAAAAGAGUAAUGUUUUAAAUUCAUUCUCAGAUAAUUGCAUAAUUUUUAGAAUAUAAUGAUUUAUUAUCUAUAAGUGCAUUUCAAAGUACACAGUGGGAUUAGUCUUUUAGCUACAUUGAAAGUAUUGAAUCAAGGCUCCUAAUUUUGAGUAACGGGAAGAAUUAUUUAUUAAAAUUAAAUGCAAGUUAGAGAACAGCCACGAAGCAUUUCCCUUUGUGGUUUUAUAUACUUUUGCCGAAAGUUAUUAAGUUUUAACUACUUGGCCAGUUUCAAGUUUGUGACCUUACCUUGCUUUUAAGGUCCUCAAUGGUUAGAUGAUAAUUGCUGUAGUCACGGUCAAGCCCACGGCAAGAUCCGGGUCCGUAUUUCUCAUGCCAAGUUUUGAUCUUUCUCUCUAGUUCAGUGUUCGCUUCCUCCAGAGCUUUCACAUUAUCCAGGUAAGAGGCCAAGCGGUUGUUGAGAUUCUGCAUGGUGACCUUCUCGUUUCCAGAGAGGAGCCCUCCUUCACUUCCAGCGAAGCCAACACAAGUGACAUUUCCCAGGGCACCAGUAGCGUGGCUCCCACCAGGAGCACUGCACAGUGUCCCUCCCAAGGCCCAAGAAAAUCCACUACCAGCAACUGAACCGCCGGCCGCACUGCUCCCAGCAAAGCCUGCGCCUCCGCUGGGCGGCCUGAGGGAUCCUGACUGUAGGCCAGCGUGCCUGGAUCCGCCAGAAAACCGGAGAGACAUGGUGCCAGGCAAACGUUCCACGGGUCCGCGGGCAGUUGUAAUUUCAAAGGAACGUUGCCUGCUUGUGGGUUCUUUGAGCUUUUAUACACGGUUGUGGGGGCCGUCUCGAGUUGAGUGGUGUCUGCUGAGAGAGAAAUGGCAUCAUUUAGAUUAGCAUGAAAUGAUGCAUAAUUGGGUGAUUUAAAAAGUAAUUAAUGCCUAGCAACCCCCCCACCCCCCAUAGCUUCAGGUUAUUUGUUAUCGUACACAAAGUAGGGUUUAGUUCUAUAUUAAGCUCAUUAUUUUGACUUUUAAUUUUGAAUGACUAAUCCUUUUCUUUCAUCCAGAGACCCUGUGAACACGCUGUCAUUAUCCCGUACAGGGGCUGAUCCAGUGUCACAGGCUAAGUGAGACAGAGACAGGCCCUGUCUUCCUGGUUUACUAUGCAGGUGGAUGAAGGACUAUUAGCUACGGAAACAGGAUCUUACUAUUGACCAGGCCUGGAAUUUGCCAUGUAUCUCAGGCUGAUCAAAGAAGGCAAUGCCAAACACCCGAGGCUGGCUGUUUUAUAAAGAAAAGAGAUCUCUCUAACUGACAGUUUUGGAAACUGAGAAUCUGUGAUUGGGCAGCACCAUCUUUUCAGCUUCUGGUGACGGUCCCUUUGUCUUCAUCACAAUGUGGUAGAGAAACGGGAAGGGAAAAGCUUCUGAAGAAGAAGCAAAUACUUGGGGAUGGCUUUGCUUUAAAACAGCCCUUCCACAAGAGCUGAUUGGGUCCCACAAGCAAAACUGUGUGAGUCCUUUUUGAGGCAGAGUCCCUAAUGAACACUGAGCCAAUUGCCUUCCGCGGCGUGUAACCUCUGAAAGGUUCCACUCCCUCAAAGCCAUCACCUGGAGACCAAGUUUCCAGCACAGAAACCUCAAGACAUACGCAAACCACAUUCAAACUUUAGCAACUGGAGAGGGGAGACCAAUGUACAGAAUUUUAAAAUAGGUAGAUGCCGUUCAAAUCCAGAAACCAGCCACAGGGACUGGGCUCAACGGAUAUGGGCUAUGGAACGAGGAACAAGUGGACCAUGAUGUUAAGUGGACAUGGAAUCGUGAUGUCGGAGGUGAGAGAAAUGGACCUGCAGCCAGUUGCUGAUAUCCUUUGAUGAUGGGCUGACAAGAGUAUGUGGUAAGGGGCAUUUGGGUGCCAUCUUCUGUAAAAGCAUUUUAGCAUAUCACAAAACAAAACCAAUGAGACCCUACAUCAAACAAAGUUGAAGGUUAGGGUUGACACUGGAAGUUGUCUUCUGACCUCUAUAUGGAGGGCAUAGCAUUGCACAGAUACAGACAUAGACACACAGACACACACAACACACACACACACACACACACACACACACACACAAAUAAAUUGAAAAA